UCGCUUGCCAGGGAACUACGAGCCCCAGCUUGAAACCCAAAGGACUUGGCGGUGCUUUAGACCCCCCUAGAGGAGCCUGUUCUAGAACCGAUAACCCCCGUUUAACCUCACCCUCUCUGGUCAUUUCCGCCUAUAUACCGCCGUCGUCAGCUUACCCUGUGAAGGACUAAUAGUGAGCAUAAUUGGCAUAGCCUAAAACGUCAGGUCGAGGUGUAGCGUAUGAGAGGGGAAGAAAUGGGCUACAUUUACUGGGCCAGUGAAAACGAAUGAUACCUUGAAACACUUAUCUCAAGGAGGAUUUAGCAGUAAGAGGGCAAUAGAGCGUCCCUC
RNAcentral lists this ribosomal RNA (330 nucleotides) under Ninnigobius canestrinii. RNAcentral describes it as "partial 12S ribosomal RNA". It matches the Rfam family "Bacterial small subunit ribosomal RNA", at positions 865 to 1362 of the family's 1533-position model. Lineage: Eukaryota; Metazoa; Chordata; Actinopteri; Gobiiformes; Gobiidae. The record is from RNAcentral.